This is a long non-coding RNA of Lycium barbarum (goji berry), 3139 nucleotides long. RefSeq lists it as uncharacterized. The record is from RefSeq and is a predicted model, not a curated record. NCBI's taxonomy places the organism in Eukaryota, Viridiplantae, Streptophyta, Magnoliopsida, Solanales, Solanaceae. The transcript has 3 exons.
AUACAAUACAACGCCAUUAUGUCCAAACAGAGGGUUACCCACCAAACAACCUUCAUCUUCUACAACAAAAACACCAAACGACCCUUCUGAAUUGGAGAAAAAGAGAGUACAACAGCGAACCCAAUCGAUUUGAUUCCAGUUUCAAACGUACGAAUUCCCCCAACAUAUACUCCAGCUGGAAAUUUCUUGCUUUCGUUGUGUACUAUUUUUGCAGGGAAUUAUGGUUACAAUGGGUACGAUUCAGUACGUUUUGUUGGAAUCUUUUGUUUUGAAUUCAAAAUUUUGAUAAGGUGGGGAAUUUGGGGGGAAAGAAUUGAAAAAUAGAAAGUCCCACCUCGUUGGGGGAAGAUUUUGAGUCAUUCUUUUGGUUCUAUAAAUAGAAACCAUAUCCCUUCCAUUGGGAGGAAAACAAAAAUGGAUUUGAGACCAGAAAAUUGGUUCUUAUACCAUUAAAUGGGUUUUUCAUAACCCUAAGAGUAAGAACACUCAAAAAUCUGGCGAAACCGAAGAACACUCAGAAAUUUGGCGAAGCUGCGAGUUUCGAGGAUGUUCUCACUCAAGUAUAAUUUUUGGAAGUCGUUUCCGUUCGUCGGAAAUCGAUUCGAGUGAAAGGAAGUUCCUCAUCAACCCCCGUCGCUGCUUGACAAAAAGGAUAAAAGUACAAGAUCUGUUUCGUUUGAAUUAUUAAUGGAAGAUGAGUUCAUUUGCACUCCUAAAGAGUUGAAUUGAUAUGGCAUUAAAUCCUGAAGGAGGAAGGGAUUUUAAAAUCUAAAAUGCCAACGAGAUGCUGCUGAACUCGAGAUGAAUUACUGUUGUUCUUGGAUGGGCUGACUGCUGCAGUCCUUUAAGCCAAACGCCGUACUUAAUUUCAGCACUCUGCUGAGUUUGCUAUUUUGUUUUUUAAUAGAAAAACAAUUGCUGAACUUCGAAACUCAUUUUGUUGUUGAUGCCUUGCUGAAAUUACUUUUAUUUCGUUGAUAUUUGCUGCAAUUUGAGGUAAAGGAAAUGGCUGCUGUGCUUAAUUGAUUGAGCCCCUGUUAUGCUCAAAAUACCCUCCUAUAAUAUACUGCUUUGUUGUUUUUUGUUGUGUCUAUCUUUAGAUGUGUAGUUGAAAUUUGAGAACCAUUCUUGGGUUGUAGAAACAAAAUUCUUUUACAUAAUUAAGCAUCUGCUUUAAUACUAGGAUGGAAUAGUGUUGGUGCAUUCGGUUUGGGAACUUCUUGCGUGUUGUGUUCCAAAACUUUUCAGGACUAUUUCCUUUAGUAGUCCCUUGUUUUCUUGUAUUGUAUCUGUUGGCUGAAAGCCAAAACAAACUUAGGGAACGGUUUAGCCUCCUCCAAUAGUCCGCCAUGCCUAGGGUUCCAUAGGCCCUUUUGAUCAUGUGCGACAUUGGAAUAGGAGUGGUGGUAGCCCCCUUUUGUUAUCUGAACCUUUUUGCAACUUGACGUUUAGCCUGAUGAUUCUGAUCAGUCUUUAAAUUUCUUUUUUUGAGUGCUGCUGCUGAAUUAGGAGUAACAUUGGCAUACUUGAGAGCAUCCUUCACUACUAGUUGUUACAUUCUGAAUUGUUGUUGUAUCUUGGGGCUAAAAAUGUCAUCUUUGAGUCAAUUUGCUACUGCUUUUGGAUUGCAGUUGCUGCAUAUGUAGCAGAGUUUCUACUGCAUUUAGAGUCUAAUCUCUGUUGCACUUCUAAAAUUGAGAAGUGAUGCCUUUGCUAUUUGUUGCCUCCAAAAUUGCUCAAUUUGGCAAGUUUGUCAUAAAUGGUUGAUGUUAUAUGUUGUCAUUUAGGCUGGAAAGAUCUGGUGUUUCCCUUGAGCUUUUGGGGUUUACUCUUACAAUGUUGAGUUUUUAUUCCCAAAGAGCAAAUGCUACAUUUCUAAGGGAGUUGUUGCCUUUUAAGGACAAUUGCCUGUUGUUUGGUGCUGCAAUUUGGGGUGAACUGAUGCUGAAUUGUUACAGCUCUUUUAAGCUAAUUGUUGUUGUGUCCUUGAGCCAAAUAACUGCUGCAUCUUUACCCAUGUUGCUGCAUCCACCGAGCAGAAAAUGUUGUAAUAUUCUACCACAUAAUAGCUUAUGAGAAUAUUUCGAGCCCUCUAUGAUUCUGCUAUCUGUUUGGUAUGUUGCUGGGCAUGGACAAAUACUACACUUGGUAAGAUCUAACUGAUGUGAAUAUGGUACUACACUGGGCCGAUGAAAAAGUAUUUAACUUGAGGCCAUAUUUUUAAAAGAACAGAUUUCUAUACUUGAUGAAAAUUUACUGAUUUGAAUAGAUACUUAACUUGAGAAUGCCUAGUCCGGAAAGGUUCUAUCCCUCGGUGGGCAAUGAUGAUCAUAGUCUAGUUAUAAAAUAGGAACCAACAUGCACUUGUCAAGGUAAUAGAAUGACUGACAGGUCGCGUAGCCAUGACAUGUUCAGGGGUCCUUUUUCCCAUAUUUGAAAGAAUCAUGAUUCUGAACCUUUAGUAAUCAAAGCUCCUACAGUUUGAUGCAAAACUGAGGGGUAUUAUAUUUAUAUUCAUAAACGUCACCCCGUGGGGUGGCGUAUCCCUUUGACUAAUCAUUCUCGUUUCUAUCCCUGCGAGGUACAUUCAAUCGAUAUAGGAUGGCAAAAGAGAAGUACUAAAAAGACGAGGCAAGGAUUUGACAUUUGGAGCUUUCAGAUGCAGAAUAAAGGAAGAACGGAAUUGCAACUAAAGGUCCAAGAAGGCUCAGAUAGGUUGCCAAGAGGAUUGCACCGAUAGGAUUUGCCGAAUACUAGCUAGUGUGGUGAGCUCCAUGUCAGUCGACGUUACCAGGUCCAGAUUUUUGUCUAUAUAUAGUAUGGGUAAGCCGGGGCCCUAUCCCAACCAUGUUACAAUUAGACUCCUGUAGAGGCUUAUGAACUUGUAUUGUCAAUUCACUAUGUCAUAGAGGCCUUGUCGACCCUUGCAUAUGUCUGUUAUGGGUUAUUACUGCUUACAGACACGUAUAUUGGCCGAGUCGGCCAGAUAACUAUUCACGUAUGCGUUGGGAUGGUCUCCUCUUGUUGAGUUAGUCUAAAGGAUAGAUGUUACAGCAUGAGGCCUCGUCGGCCCAAAUACGAUAUUGUGUUUACAGAUUGGCCUCCUUGGCCUAUUGUCCUCUGAGACACAGAGGGUACG